UGAAAAUAAUUUUGGAAAUAAUGGAUAAUAUUUUGGCAUAAUCGGUUCUAAAAGUUACUUGUCUUUUUCAGGAUAAUAAAGCCGAUGUAAUUUUAAAAUACAAUGCAGAUGAAGCUAGAAGUCUGAAGGCAUAUGGCGAGCUUCCAGAGCAUGCUAAAAUCAAUGAAACCGAUACAUUUGGUCCUGGAGAUGAUGAUGAAAUUCAGUUUGAUGACAUUGGGGAUGAUGAUGAAGACAUCGAUGAUAUCUAAAUUGAAUUCAACAUUUUACAUUCCAAUUUCUCUGAGGAUUGUUCCAACAAUUUGGAUUUUGGCUGUGACCCGUUAAAGAAGAUUAAAAUUUCAUUAGCAUGAGUGCAAUUUGUUAAAGCAGACUGAUUUGUUUCUAAGGUAUUUCUUUAAAAACUGGUAAUGCUGAAUUCUCUUAAGUGAAAAGUUAAGCCUUCUUUGUUCUUUUGAUGUAUUGGAGUUUAUGGGUAAAAGACCACAUCUACUAUUUUUAAAAAGGGGGGGGGGAUGCAUUACUGCCUUUCCUACUUUGACCACUUCCCGUAAGUAAAUGAAUGUUCUGAAUAAACCAUUUGCCCUACACUCAGUAUGGAUUACGAUUAAGCCCUAACUUUGACUAGCCUGUUGACUGUACAGUGAUUAUCUGUAUAUUCCAGUUACUUUGAUGUUCCCUUGAGAUUUUGAUACAGAACUCUGCAUUUCAAGUAAAAAAUGAUUAGGUCUGUUUUUCAUAGCAUGUGGCUAUUUUUGUACUAAUUUUGAUAUGUACAUUCUUUUCAUGAUCUUAUUUUGCCACUAUAAAUGUAUCAACAAAAAAGCAUUUCCAAAAUGCAGGUUUUAAUAGGAAUUUUUAAUUUGUGAGGUUAGUAGUUACAGGAAUUGAACAGUAGGUGGCACCCAGUCAUCUUAAUGUUGAAACGUUGCUAUAGUUGUCAAUUUUUUUUCUUACUGUGCAUAGGAAAUUUCCCAAACAAGAAAAGAUUAUUUUGAUCAUAUGCAUGUAUGUAGAAUAUUUUUAAAGAACAAAAAUAUUGUUAAAAGUGUCAUUUUAUUUCAGAAGUCAUAUACAUAUAAGCUACAAUUUUGAGUGCUUUAUAAACACUUGAAUUGUGUAUAAAUGAAAAUUUAAUUUCCUAACAACUGUACAAAUUAAGCCUUUUUCAAACUAUCCCUAAGCUGGGAAAAGAGGAGGGAAUAACAAUUUACUGAAAAGAUGGUUUCUCAUUUCUAAAUGGAAGAGCUACAGCUGAGAAAUAUAAUAAAGACAAUGUCAUGCUGCAGAGUAUAUUAUACCCUUACUUUGUGUUUAGGAUGUAUUUUAUUGUGUGUAAAGAUUUGUUUUGCUUGUAUUUUAUUGGGAAUUUGGAUUUUCCCUUACUUAGUUUUUGUUCUGAACUCUACUAAGAUGAAAUUAAGGGCUGGGCUAUUUAGACCUCACUAGCCAUAUUAAAUCUUAUGCAACUUUUAAAGAAGAGAUCCAUGAUUAAGGUUGUGAAGAUUUUAUUCUACCAGUCUCCAGAGAUGUUUUUAGUGAUGAAAGGUACUACAAAGGGAAAUAAACCUUCAUGUGGCUUCAAGAAAUAAGCAAAUCUUCUCUAAUCUCAUGCUUAUUCCUAAGUGUGCAAACUCUGGAAUCAGAAUCUGAGGUACUAUAAAAUAUUAUUAAAUCAAAGAAUAGAAAUGAUAGACAGUUGGAAUUCAUGUUUCUUAUUCUCUGGAGUUCUGAACGCUUACUUAGAUGGAAUACAUCCGAAACCAUGGGCUGGUUUUCAAGACUUGUCAGAAACUAGCCUUGAAGAAUCGACUUAGUGAUUAUCUUCAUCAAAAUCUAAACUUUCUGAGAUAUUUAGGCUCCUGUACAAAGAGUGUUUUGCUAAAUUUGUGGUGUACAUGUAGAUCCUUUUUCCGUGUUGUUUUACCAGGAAUGUUGUAACUCUGUGUCUGUGGUAUAGUUCAUGGUAGGGAUCGUACAGCUCACACAUUAGUUUUUCUACUUACCUCCUCUAACACAUAUGGUUCGUCUAAAGAUUUUUAAAAUUACAACUAUGGCCCCCAUUCAUGUGUGUGUGUUAGUGAUAUUUUUUUUUCCUUGCUUAGGUAGUAACUGCUCAAUCUAGUGGCAUUGCAUCCUGGAAAAUCUCAAAUCAUAAUGACUAUAAAAUGGUAAAGUUCUAGGUCAUACGCAACACUACUUGGAGGGAUUGUUUUACUAACUUUAAUGUGAAAUUUUUAUAGUUUUAUUGACUAUAUUUCAAAUGAGAAAUGGAAGUGGUCCUUAGUUGGUGUGUUUGUUUUGUUUUGUUUUUUUGUUUGUUUUUUGGUGGUGUUUUGUUGGUUUUUGGGUUUUUUUUGGGGGGGGGUGUCGUUACACUCUUUGAUUCCAAUAACACAAUGCAAUAAGGUAUGCCCUGAAAGAAAAUAAAAUGUUUGAAAUCCAAGAAUAAUGGUUCUUCCUGCUAAGCGGGUGUAAUAAUUAUUACUAAUGAAUUCGAUGGGCUUGCAUUUUUCAUGCAGCAUUGAUUCUACUUCCAGUUAGAGUAUAAAUUGUAUUACUAAGGUGGCUCAACAACCAAACCAAGCAUUUGUGUGAAAAACUUGCCAAGAUUUAAUUGCUAGACUGUUGAAUCUUUUUUGAACAUCCAACUUCUUAAGAGACUGCCUCUUAAGGAUCCUAUAAACUAUGCAUGAUGAAAAUUCUUGUAUUUUAUUAAGGAAUGGCCAUUGGUUUACUCACUACAUCUACAGAAUCGUGGCUGUGAAUAUAGUUGGUUACAAAACUACUUGUGGCCUGUAGUUUAACUUAAUUUCAUCUAUCUUGUGUAAAUAGUAAAUUAUAGGAUGGUGAAUAACAUCUUUAGUAGAUAUAAACUGCUGUCAGUACUGACUUCAGAACAACAGAGUAAUCAAGUAGGUAAAAGCAUGUUUGAAAUAAAAAUACCUAGCUGGAUUUAUACUUUAUUUGUAUUGUUUACAGAUUUUAAAAUAUCCAGUAUUAACUGUAGCUUGACAGUUAAAGUAUCAGAAUGAAAGUGAGGUUCUUUACGUUACCUGUUGUAACAAGAAGAUUCAUAUUGGUAGGAGAUGUUUAGAUCUUUAUCCUGCUUAGCAAGAGGAAGUUUCAUUUAUACUCUUUGGACUCCCAUGAACUUUUACACACCACUUUUGUGUUUUUAAUUUAUUAUCAUUCUUUUUAUCCUUGCUUAUUUCUUCCUACUCAGAAAAGAACAAAAUCUUAAUUAUUAAGUCUCACUACAGCUGCGUUGAGACCCUGACUUCUCAGGUACAGAGUGAACCAAGGAAUUUGGAGAGUAUUGGAGUGGGUCCUCUCUUUCCUCCAGCUGCCGGGAACUUAGGAGGCAGUGUGACAGAGAGUGAAGAGCAUGGGCCCUGGGGCCAGGAGGCCUGUGCCCCAGCCCCCACUCUGCCCUUAACCUAUAGGUGACCAUGGGCACCUUCUUUUACUUGUGUGAGUUUCAGGCUCCUUACCUGUAAGAAUGGGGGUGAUGAGAAUAGUACCUGCAGAAUUGGUGGGAGGAUUAAUUAAUUAAUGUGUCCAUAUGUGUAUUGCACCUAGAGCAGUGUCUUCCACUUUUCACUCAGUAUCCAGGACUGUAUGCACGUCUUUUAUAUUCUCUACCAUUUCUUUCACUUGGAGUCUUUGGUUCCUAUAAUAAAAGAACUUGUAGAAUAUAUAUAUUCAUGUUGACACAGUAUUUAAAAUAAUUGUUACCACCCUCAUUUAAUUCAGCAUAAGACUAACAAGUCUCUAAAUUGCUCAAAGAUGGAUGUUUUGCAAAAUACCAACUACUCUAUAUUUCUUUAGAGAAAGUUCAUGGUUAUUGAUAGCUCUGGUCAUAUUUCAUUCUUAAGUCUAAUGGGUCCUUUUACUAUAUAGAUUCAUGACAGCUAAUUAGUAUUGACUGAUUUGGAGAUUUGGACUUCUGUAUAAAAGUCCCAUCAUUUGGACUUAUGUAAAAAAAAAUAAUGGAUGCAAACUAUUAAAAUUAGAAAAUAAAAUAUGAAAUAACUUUUAA
RNA transcript from Ailuropoda melanoleuca (giant panda), 4042 nucleotides. It is a transcript of the gene named eukaryotic translation initiation factor 1A X-linked, with no coding region annotated. The transcript has 3 exons. Lineage: Eukaryota; Metazoa; Chordata; Mammalia; Carnivora; Ursidae. The record is from RefSeq and is a predicted model, not a curated record.